GACGAACGCUGGCGGCGUGCUUAACACAUGCAAGUCGAACGGAAAGGCCUGCUUUCCCUUGUGGAUUGCGGGUACUCGAGUGGCGAACGGGUGAGUAACACGUGAGUGAUCUGCCCCCAACUUGGGUAUAAGCCUGGGAAACUGGGUCUAAUUCCCGAUAGGACUGCAGGGUGGUGCCUGUGGUGGAAAACGAUUUUCUAGUGGUUGGGGAUGAGCUCUCGGCCUAUCAGCUUGUUGGUGGGGUAAUGGCCUACCAAGGCGGCGACGGGUAGCCGGCCUGAGAGGGUGGACGGCCACAUUGGGACUGAGAUACGGCCCAGACGCCUACGGGAGGCAGCAGUGGGGAAUAUUGCACGAGGGGCGGAAGCCUGAUGCAGCGACGCCGCGUGGGGGAUGACGGGCUUCGGGUUGUAAACUCCUUUCGACCGCGAGGAAGCCACCUGGUUGGAAGGGUGGUGACGGUAGUGGUAGAAGAAGCACCGGCUAACUACGUG
This 494-nucleotide ribosomal RNA is filed under the name uncultured bacterium. RNAcentral describes it as "partial 16S ribosomal RNA". It matches the Rfam family "Bacterial small subunit ribosomal RNA", at positions 28 to 507 of the family's 1533-position model. The record is from RNAcentral.